This 741-nucleotide ribosomal RNA is filed under the name Triticum aestivum (bread wheat). RNAcentral's name for it is "partial small subunit ribosomal RNA". The record is from RNAcentral. Lineage: Eukaryota; Viridiplantae; Streptophyta; Magnoliopsida; Poales; Poaceae.
AUGGUGAAAAAAAAGGUUCAUUGGAUUGCAUGGAAGAAAAUGUGUGUUAGCAAGCAAGAUGGAGGUAUGGGCUUUCAUGACAUGGAGGCAUUUAAUCAAGCUUUGCUUGCAAAGCAGGCGUGGAGGAUCCUACAAGUCCCCUCCUCUCUCUGCUCAAGGGUACUCAAGGCUAGAUAUUUUGCCGAUGGUUCUAUACUUAGUGCAACCUGUCCGAAUGGUGCCUCAUUCACUUUCAGAAGUAUCUUGUAUGGACGAGAUUUGCUACUUGAUGGUUUAGUUUGGAGAGUAGGUGAUGGCUCAUCUAUCCGAAUUCAUCAUGAUAACUGGAUACCGCGCAAAGGAUACCUUCGGCCACUGGGCCAGGUAUAUGUGCAAGGUAUGACACGUGUUAGCGAUUUAUUGAAUGAGGAGGGUGAUGCAUGGGAUAAAGCUAAAUUGGUGACCAUGUUUUCCCCAGAUGAUAUCCAGGAUAUUCUUCAAAUUUGUGUGGGUGGACAGGGCUCUGUAGAUUUCCCUGCUUCGAACUUUACAAAAAAUGGUGAAUUUACUGUAAAGCAUGCAUAUCAUCUAUGUAUGGAGAAGAAAAGGGCAAGAGUUGGACAGCCAGGCUCUUCGUCAUCCACCACGACCCACCAAGGUUGGCUCUCUCUGUGGGGAUCCAAAGCUCCUGGGAAAGCGCUGAUCCAUGUUUGGAGAUUGAUCAAGAAUGGCCUGGCGGUGGGCUCGGAACUUCUACGGUGA